This 1438-nucleotide long non-coding RNA is filed under the name Sus scrofa (pig). RNAcentral describes it as "lncRNA (ENSSSCG00060069588.1)". Lineage: Eukaryota; Metazoa; Chordata; Mammalia; Artiodactyla; Suidae. The record is from RNAcentral.
GCUUGUUUGAGGCUGGAGGGCGCCGAGGGAGAAGGGAAACAGCCAGCAGGGAAACGGGGCCCUCAGACCUUCAACAGCCCCCUCGUAAAUGGACAGGGACACCGACUUCCGUCCAGAGCUUCCAGGUGUACAACAAUCAUCACAAACAAAUUUUAAGGCAUUUCCAUCCCAAACCCUCAGUGCAUCGCCCAACCCCCCAUUCUGUCUGACUUGGAAACCGUAAGAUUUUCAGUCUGUGAGUCACUCUCUGUGCUGCAAUGAACUUCUUUGCAGAGGACAUUUGUACUUUAUUAUGUAUUGCUUGACUUCUCCGAGAUGAAGACACAUUCAUUUUGAAUUUUUAAAAAACCCGCUAAAGAUGGUUAAGGAAAUGUACAUCAGCAAACCUGAGGGUAAAUAAAUCUGAGGGGCUGAGCCUCCAUGCCCACCUUGGGGCAUUCAGCUAAGCUGGAGUGCACUUUCAAGGACCAGAGAGAAGGUUUGAUUUGAACUCUUCUUUGGGAUCUUUGGUGGGCGGUGAUUGAGCUUUGCAGGACCUGGAGUACAGGCAGCUCCAGGAUCCGUUCCCCCGCUGAGGGCAGCAAAUGCCAGCCAGCUUCAGGGCAGAGGAGCAGUGGGUGUGGCCUGGAGGCAGGGACAACCCCCUGCUUUUUCUUUCCGUGGAGCUGGCAUGCAGGGAGGCCAGGGGCAGAGCCGGCUCCCCCUGGGGAGCAGAUCUGGGUCUCAGCCAGCUGGGAAGGAAGGGCUUCCUUAUGACCUGACCCAUCUCGCUGGCUGGGAACUCUGCACGGCAGCUCUUCCCUUCUUCCCUUCCUCCCAGAGACCCCAGAAAAGCUUCUGUUUCCCCUUAUGACCCUCUAAUUCUUCACAUUUUGGUUCCGGGUGAACCGGACUGGAAAACUCUGCUCAUUCACCGGGGACCGUCAGUCCUGGGAACCGGGUGGCUGAGAAGGCUCUGCUCGUGGCUUCUCAUGAUCUGGUGGUUUUCGCGCUAAGGGGGCCACCUCCCCAACCAGGCACCAUCAAAACUUCAGGACCACCACUGCCUGAGCUUGAGGAACAGAGCACAUGUCUCUCUUGAUUCCACAACAUCACCUGGACCUGUUGAAAAGCUGGUGUGAGGGGGGAAGUCUUUGGUCCCCUUAAGUCUGCCUCCCUUGAGAGCUUCCACUGUUUUAAUGAUAUUUCUGAGGCAAAGGCCAGAACUCUCAUCAGAUGCUUAUUGAUGUUGUCAUGAGUAAUGGGGUAGGAAUCAUGUGAACUACUCUGAAAUAUUUAAAAAGUCACCCCACAGAAAAAGGCCUUGGACCCCUCUGUGAAUUUCCAGAGCCUUUAUUUCCCUCCCAUUAAUGGCCAUGAGUCCCAGGGGAGGGGGGACACCUGCUAUGGCCCAGUGGGAGUGUCCAGGGGAGCAUCAACAGGUGUGUCUGACUGCAUG